GUUUUGCGCCAAUAAAAAUCCUGCAAAGGGUGAAACACAGCUCUAAAAGGAGCGUUGGCCAAGGAUUCUGAGGACCCGUACAAAGGUUUAAGGAAGGCGAUGACCAAUGUAAAAAGCAAAUUAACGUAAAAUAAAAUUAGGCUUACUAACAAUAAUUGUCCUUUAACAGAAAACCUAAAUAACACUAUUUAGUUAAAACAAAUUUAAAAGUAAUUAAAAAUGUAUGUAUUUUAAAUUAUUUUUCAUAAGUGAAAACUCAUUGAAAAAUUCUGAUUUUCACAAGUGAUUUGGGUGAUUUUGGGACGUGUCACAGGCAUGUGACAGGCAAUACGAAAAAUGAGUAAGGAACAAGUGAAAUCCCGUGGGACUUCAAAAAAUUUUCAUUUGAAUUUUCACUUGUGAAAAUGCGGAUUUCAAUUGGAGUCAUUUGGAACAUUUUUUGAGGGACACUAGAGUGUACAGGGAGCCCAAAUUAUUCUAGAAAAUGCGGUUUUAAAGCUGAACUUUUUUGGCUGUAAUCUAGUGUUAUCAGACAACAUUAGACUGUUGGAAAUAGCUUUACAUUAUGGUUUGGCAGUUUAUUCUCAGUCUAAUACGGAUUCCGAACACCGGAACAACAUGGGCAACUGCGUCCUCUAUUUAAAGAAAAUAAGUAUAUUGCUAUACCUAUGACAACGGACAAGCUAAACGUCAGAAGCCAUUACAAGAAUAUAGGCAACAUGCGUUAAAACUGUCGCAUCUCUCGCCAGACGUGGCCCUAAAAUAUGUUUCUGAAAAAGCUGCAGGGAUAAGGAAGAAACAGAAAGGCCUGUGCAGCCUCAGACAGAAGCAUUUACUUAAACAAAUUUAAAGAGAUUUAUUAAAUCUUUCGGGUGUGAGCUAUGUUAACCAACCGAUUGAAAGGUGGGUACUGAGAACGGGAAACUCAAAAAUUAGAUCUUUCGGUAUCACAAUGUACCUACAGAGGUCUAUGAGUAUCAGGCUACGGUCUGACAGCCAUCCAAAUAUUAACAUAAAAACCUUGGUAGAGAAUGCUAAAACCGUUACACAAGGUAAAAAAGAAAAAGCUUUGGCAAUUUUUAUAAACAGUAUAAUCACACUAGAGCCUUCGAACGAUUUUUGUCAUAUACUAUAAUUCAAUUACUGAAUCAUCGACAUCAAUAAGUAUUUGUUAAUUGCAAGCACUUUCGAUUAUAUAGGAAACAUACAAACAAUCACUUUCUUCUCCUGAUGCGUCUAAUGCCCUUGUAAAAUUACUUAGCCAACUGGAAGGUCAGGGUCGAACAACGUUGAAAAAGAAUCAAAUUCGUUAAAGAUAAUUCCUCAGUUUCUAAACCAUGGAUUUAUCUCAGGAAACAAUUGUGAAAGAUUGUCCUUCAUUUUAUUUCAUUUAGCUUUGCCAUAUUUGCUAUCUCUUCCAAUGAUCGCAGAGAGUGGUUUUCCUUCCAAAUAUUCUCUGGGGACAUCGUCUUAUCUAAAACAUGGUUAUUUGAUAUUGUAUUAUGGUUAAUUUUGGCCUUGCAAAACGCAAUGGUCAUGCAGGACAGCGAAUGCAUUGUUAUUGCCAAUAGAACUGGUAACCUAUACUUGUUUCAAAGCAUAAACAGCAAGUGUUUUUCUGGGAACGAACAAUGGUUUUUAAACGCCUUAACAGCAUUUCAUCGCAUUUUCCUCUUGAAGUGCGGGAAUAAAAAGAAAUCGGCCUUGACAGGGCUCUACGGGGAUGACCCAUAAAUUCGACGAUCUCAUAAACGUCUUUUGAAACACCGUGAUUGUAUUUUUUUCAAAAUUUCUUUGUACCAAUCAUCCACACGAGCCUUUUUUUGAGCGAUUUUCAAAGUGUGCGGGAUCCAAAGAAAAACCAAUCUUUUUUACAGCCAAGCAAAGGCCAAGGAUGCCUCUAUCUCACGGUAUGUCACUUGACGAUCUUGCAUUAUAAAGAUUUAAGUUCAUCGAUGCACUCUUGUCGAGAUAAUUCACGUCGAAAGACACGAGUUAAUUACAUUUUUCUGCCGAAGUAAAUUUUUAAUUAAUCGUUAAUCGAUAUCAAACGUGUUCACGUGAAUAAGGUAUAUGGAGCUUUAAUCGAUAAAAGUCCGAACUUUAUUUAAGGGAAAAUGCCAAUUGGACCUAGUAUGGCUAGAAGUGACCUAGGGCAGAAACUUAAAUAGCAGCCCUCGUAUAACUCAUAUGAAGGAUUUUGGUUCUAUUGCAGUUGCUCUGUACAAAGGUUCAUGAAAAGGAAGCAAGUUUCAAUGAAAAGGCAAGGAUUAUACUAUGGUUGGAUAUACGGUGGCUGCCGAAGGAUAUCGUCUGUACGAUUCAACUACUCGACUUGUAGUCGAAAAAAAUCCUAUUUAAUGAAAAUCAUGAUGCAGUAGAUGACGUAAAGCAAGUUUCGAUUUAAUAUAAACUGGUGGAGAUUAUAGCUCUUGUGAGAGUUCCGAUCAGCUCGAGAGUGCAUCAGAAACUGAAAAAGAAAAGGAUAAGGACAACAAGGAUGAGGAUACAAAGAUUGUGGAAAGAAAAGAUGGGAAAGAUGACAACAAGGAUGUACGUGUAGGGCAUGGUCGACCACAGCACAAUCGGUCUGACCUAGAAAUCGACGUGUGAUCGGAUGCAAAUGGGUAAUCAAUUUCCCUGGGCCAUUCGCAUUAUAUAAAGGAUUUACUGCAAAUACAGGCUGUUGGUAAGCUUAUGUGGCUUGCACUUACAACCGGUCCGAAACAAAAAUAAAGCAUCGUCAUAUCUAUGCUUCUGUCAAAUUGAUUUUUUAUCCUAUUUAAAAAGUGGUGGUAAUUUCGUUAUUAAAAUAAUAAAUCGUUUAAAAACCAUAAAGAACAAGGAGUAACGCUAUAGUCGAGUGCCUCGACUAUCAGAUAACCGCUACUCAGCUAAAGGGGCCAAGGGGAGAUGGGGAUAUGCAAUCAGCAAAGCGAGAUUGCAAUACGCCAGCUACCUGCGAUCUCAAUAUAUGGAUAUUUGAGCGGGCGACAGACUUAAGCGUAAUGGGUCAAUCGAUAGAUAUUGAUGAGAACAAUACAGUGUAGUUACUAGUAUUAAAACUGUAGGAGCCCCAGUUUUG
Non-coding RNA from Drosophila suzukii, 3085 nucleotides. The record is from RefSeq and is a predicted model, not a curated record. Lineage: Eukaryota; Metazoa; Arthropoda; Insecta; Diptera; Drosophilidae.